AAGACAUGUCAAUCUGCUCAUGUAAAUCUUCCACUCAGUAACCUUUUGUGUGCAGCAUUUAUUGAGGCUGAUGGCAAAAAUUGAAACCAACAUCAUGGUAUUCUGAAGACCAGAGAUAUGAAUCUCCCUCAUUUGACAUCCUACUGGGCCUGAAUCUGUUUCACUGCUAAAGCUCUGCUGCCAAACCUAUACAAGCUGCCUCCCUCUAGGCCCAGGGGCUAUCAUGGAAGAGAUUGCCGGAGGCCAGAAAGUAAGACAAAUAACAGCUCACCUGCCUGGCUUGUUGGAGCAACAAGAAACUUUAAGAGCAAUCCUCCAUUUGCCAGGUGAGGAAAUGACAUUAACAGCUGGAAAGAUUAAUAUGUUGGUGAAGGACCAGGGAAAAGAAAACUGCCAGCUUCCUAUACCAACCAUAGAGUUAAAGUUUUUGCUUUUUUUUUUUUUUCAGGUUCCUUGGUAAUUAGACUUGUCAAUAGAACAGAUUUCUGUGUCCAUAAUGCAUAAGGUUAAGUAAGGUAUGUCGGUAUGUUGAGUAAGAUCACCACUCAAAUGAGGAGAAUGAUUGUUACAAGGUACAACAUAUAAUGAACAAAGUGGGAAAUUAAGAAAUUCUUAAUUUGUACAUUCUGGCCCAGGAAAAAGAAAUGCUGAGAUUAUCUUGGAUUGUGUUUAGAUAACUGUUUUGUAUUUCAAAGUACUUUCAGAAUCAUCUCAUUUUAGCUUUACAAUCUAGAAAUUUUUAUACAUAUUAUUUUCUAUUUGAGAAUACUGACAAAUUUCGCUUAAACAAACUUUAGCCUGACUCCUGAAGCUCCUCCUGUAUCUAUGUGUGCACUUCCUUGUAAAAUCCAGUUUCAGCAAGAACUCUGCUAAAUCAUUUUAACCAGAACCUCCCACUCUUGAUACCGGAUCACCUUGAUAUUUUAUCAGGUUCCUCAUCUUCCACCUCCAGGGGAUGUCUGGUCACCCUGGCCUGUCUUCAGCAAGAACCCUAUUAAGUCAGUUUAGCCAGAAUCCUCCUUAUCCCUGAUGUUUCCUCUGAGCAAUUUUCCACCCACUGACCCCACCCUAUUCCUUGCCUAUAAGCUCCCACUUGCCAUGCUGUAUUAGGAUUUGAGCCCAAUCUCUCUCCCUCACUGCAAAAUCCCAUUGCAGUGGCCCCUGUACCAAACAUGAUGGUCCUGAAUAAAGUCUUUCUUGCUCUGUUGUAA
Homo sapiens (human) is the source of this 1211-nucleotide long non-coding RNA. RefSeq lists it as uncharacterized. The record is from RefSeq and is a predicted model, not a curated record. The transcript is spliced from 3 exons. Lineage: Eukaryota; Metazoa; Chordata; Mammalia; Primates; Hominidae.